CAAACUCUAACCUAUCUCUCUCACUUGAAACCAUAGAUAUAUAGACGCCGUCGAGAAAGCCAAAAUCCCAUUCUUCCCGGCGUUGGCAACGCCUCUAUCUGUUAGCGAAGGUGAAGGCAUCAACGGGGAUUGUGGGGCUGAAGGUGGUUCAGAACGGGGUAGGUGCUGAUUGGGCUAUAUGCUGAAGUGUAUCCAGAAGGGUCCCAAAGACGAAGGGUACUGCAUAUGGAAGCAUCUCAUUUCUACCAAUGCGAAGCUGCAAAAGGAUUAUGAAGAUUGAAAAAAGUAUGAAUUGAAUUAAAUAAAG
Molecule: long non-coding RNA, 307 nt
Filed under: Glycine max (soybean)
Lineage: Eukaryota; Viridiplantae; Streptophyta; Magnoliopsida; Fabales; Fabaceae
Description: long non-coding RNA (GMAX_LNC000546)
Source: RNAcentral